This 3966-nucleotide long non-coding RNA is filed under the name Homo sapiens (human). RNAcentral's name for it is "HSALNT0318424". Lineage: Eukaryota; Metazoa; Chordata; Mammalia; Primates; Hominidae. The record is from RNAcentral.
UUUCUGCAUUAAUUUUCUUAGGAUAAUGGCCUCCAGCUUCAUCCAUAUUGCUGCAAAAAAAUGUGAUUUUAAUGUUUUUUAUGGCUGAGUAUACUUUCAGUCCAAUUAGAUUAUUUCCUUUCUGCAAGAAUCAUUGUCCAUUUUUAACAUUCAGUUGAGUCUAGGAAACUUGCAUAAUUUUUAUUCCACAUUUUUCUUCUUGAAAAAAAGACUUGGACUUUCUAAUUCCAUCUUAGCCUAGUGGAUAGAGUAAAUACUCCGGAAAUAAAAAGUGCCAGACAAGGGUCUUUAGUAGAAUGAGGAGCAUGGCACAGAGAGAACCUUCUUCAAUGAUGCUACAAAUCUUCAGUAAAAACUCCCAUGUGCGCUCCCGCACACACAAACACACAAACACACACACUCUUACUUAUUUGGAUUUCUUGUUAAAGAUUAUUAUUUUGUAGCUAGAUAAUAAUGGAACAAAACAGUCAGUGUGUGUGGUGGAGAGAACUGAUUGUAUCUGUAAUGCAUGAGCGUUAACUAGAGUCAUUCAUGUACAAAGGUUAAAAACGAUGUGGUAUACAGGCAAAGGAGGAUAUGUGCAUUUUCACUGGAUCUUGUUGUUUGGGCACCUGAGACAAGCUGGCAGUCACUAAAUCUCAGCGAUCACUCAAUGUGUGCCAGGCAUUCGCACACAAUAUCACUAACACCCAUGACAGUCCUUCAAGAGAGGUUCUGCUGUCUGAGAGAUUAUGUGACACGCCUAAGGUCACAGGAUCAGCAAAUACUAGGGCUGAGAUUUAAACCCAGAACUGUCUACUGCCAAAGCUUUUGCGCUCUCCCUCGUGCCACGUUGCUUCUCAUUUUGGGCUUGGUCUCCACUUCCCAGUCCUUGAAGGAGUUCUCCAGGUCUGCCCCAUUAGCACUGCAUCUCAGAAGGAAGCUGCAGCUGCGCCGCCAAUCUCCCGGUGGUAGGUGCUUAAUAAACAUUAUGAAGUGCAUGAACAAAUGAAUAGCCCCUGAUGGACAGACAUGCUUGAGAAACACUAUUUUUCACAUUCCUAUCUACACUCAAGAUUUUACCUAUGAUAGCAGGCUGAAGAUUCCCAGGAUCUUACAUCCUAGCAGGCAAUGCCUCUGCAUCCUCAUCAGCGAAACCGGAUUGAUCUUGCCUGCUUCCCUGGCUUUGAUGGAUGCAACAGAAGAAUAUAUGCAGAAGUCCCUAAUGCAGUGCCUGAUGCAUGAUAAAUGCUCAAAUAUAACAGACAGAAAAUCUGUGUAUGUUGUAUAAGCCCUGCAGUGUGUGGUACUUUGCUUCAACAGCCAAAGCAAAUGAAUACAGCCUCCAUGGUAGGCAAUGGGACAAGGAUUCAGCAUUCAGGAUCCUACCUGUGUCUUCUUCAGGAGGGGACUCCUGGUUUUUGCCUUUCCCUGACUAAGAUGGCCUCCUCCCUUUCACUGUUUCACCUGUGAUCAUUCUCCUCUUCCCGCAAAGUUUGAUUUAAACAUCAUUUCCUCCAAUUACCCUCAGACCUGCAAGUAGGGGUCACUCAGUCCUGCUGUGAGCUCCUGGCAUAUCGUUUACUGCUGGGUCACCUAAGUACCUAGUUGGUCUGCCAGCUCCUAAAUGGCAGAGACCACAUCUUAACACCUGUGUGCUCUCAUUAAGGCCACAAUGAACAUUUCUUAAAUUAAACCUCAUUCUGCCUUUAUCUUAGGUCUCCUGCCUGUCUGAAAGUGUUUGCUAUAUGCAUAAUGAUCUCUCCAGCAUGCUAAGGUCAUCUGCAGCAGCAAAUGUCUCUUAAGGGUUGAUUAUGGGUCCAAGGAUCUGAAAGAUUUUCUAUGUGAUGGAAUUAGGGGGUUUGAAUUCCAAUGUAGAUACUCUGGUGAGGAGGAAUAAAGAUCCUUCCCCUCAUUUAGACCCAAGAGACAGAAAUACUACCACCAGUUGGUGAUCACUGAGGAUCCGUAUUUGUUAGGCAUUGUAUGAACCUUCUCCAUGAACUAUCUUCUUGGUGUCUCAAAACAAUCUUUUGAAAGAGGUACCAAAAUUAUUCCCAUUGUUAUAAUUAUAUGCCCAAUGUCACACAGCAAAGAUAACUGUCCAGGUAGGUCUAUCUUACCCAACAUCUGUGCUUCUUAUCACUCUACUGUAGAUCUCUCAAACGGUAAGUCAAUUGGUAUCAUUAAAAGGAAGGUACAAAAAUCCAGGAACACAUUCAUAAAACUCUUUAGACCCACAACUGGAAAUGCCAGUUGGAUGGUCUUUUAAUUUUUCUGUUUCCCUAGUAACAGAAAUCAUUCUUCAAAAACAAAACAAAACAAAACAAAAAACAACCUUAGAAACAAGUCUGCUUUGUAAAACAGGUAACACAGAACUGCUCCAGGUUGAAGAAGGUUGGGGGAGCUAUGAAAUCUCACCCACCUGUCACUCCCUUCCCACCCAGGUGCCCUUAAAGGCACUCUGAGGCACCAGCUGAUUACACCUUCAUAGUCUGUAGAUGUGGAAAGAAAGGCCUGGAAAGAGGAAAUCAUUUACUAAAGCUCACUCAGCUCAAAAGCGGCAGGGCCAGGAAUUCUAAGUCCCCUGGCUCCGAAGCCAAAGCUCUUUUGACAGUAUUUUGAUGUCUCAUUUGUGACAACUAGGCUUUCUUACUAAGAAGUGCAGAAUUAUAAAAUAAAGUCAACAAAAUCUACAAAGGAUUACUAUACUUCAUCUGAUCUAGGAUUAUAUCAGUUACAAGAUUCACUCCAAUUUGUGAUGUUAAAAAUUCUAGACCUCAGAAUCAAUACAAUGAAAUGUGUCAAGAGUGUUUAUUCCUCUGUCAUUUGGUGCAAGGCACUUCUGUUGAUUCUCCUUUUGUCCUUCACCAUUCUAAGACAUUGGUUCCAAUCUUUGUUUUUGGAUUCAAGUUUCCUUUGGAAUCUGGUGAAAGUUAUGGACACUCUAGCUAGAAAAAUUCACAUUGCAUUGACAUGGUGUGGGAUACAGCCUGACAGUCUCCUGAAGCCAUUCCACAGAACCUAUAUAUUUUAUGUAUUCCUGAUAAGACGUAAGUCCCAUUUGAAGAGCUCAAAUGUUUCCCACUUAUGCUGUUUCUAUGGAAAGGAAAAACAAUCUGCUAUCCAUUUUACAAACACAAAAUUAACCUCUAUGCUAAAGGGUGGAGCUUUAGGGUGAAAGAACAAAGGAGUCAAAGUUACCUCCUGGCCAAGCUAACAGUUUCCCAACCCCCACUGUCAUUCUCUUAGGCAAGGAUCAAAUUUUUUAAAGUUCUUAAAUUUUUGAAAUGAGAAAUCCUAACUAUCAAAAGCAAAAUGAAGCAAGUGAAGCUAAUUGUGUUUAGAGUUAGUGCUUAACCACUCAGAGAAAAGAAUUAUUUCCAUUGACUUCCGGAGCACAGUAAUUUUACAGUACAUCCCUCUAAGAACAAAAAUAGCAACUGGAAAGGAAUUGUAAACUCUUUUCAGUAAUUAUAUUUUCAGUUUAAUAUUGACAUUGUUAUUUCAAACUAUAAGCCUUCAGCAAAGUGUUAUUGGAGAUUUUCAUUGCCUGGAUUUCUGUUAGUUUUAAAGUAGAGAACCAUGGAAGAUGGUCUUAUGAGUUGGAAAAAGAGAAUGAGUGUUCUAAAUCUAUAUCCAUCUCCCAACCAGCUUUGUCUGUCUCUAGGCAAUUACUCCAGAACAAACAUGCUGUAUCACAAGAAUUAUUAAUUUUAUCCUAAAGUAAACAGACUCAUCUCCAAUGAUAAAAGAAAUUAUCUACCCACAUGACUUGACCGAUAUCUUUUUAAGAAAUAUAUCCUUGGUUUUACUAUUGUGUGAUCAAUCUGUCCAGGCUUGCCUGGUACUUGUCUGUUUUUAGCUGGAAAUCCAGUGUCUUGAGAUGAGCCUCACUUCGGGGCAAACAGGGAUGGUUGAUCACUGAUAUGGUUUAGCUGUGUCCCGACACAAAUCUCAAAUUGUAUCUCCCAGAAUUCCCAUGUG